Molecule: ribosomal RNA, 1258 nt
Filed under: metagenome
Description: bacterial LSU rRNA
Rfam family: Bacterial large subunit ribosomal RNA
Source: RNAcentral
UGAGUCAAAUGCUUGUACCUAUAAGAUUGAGCUGUGAUGGGGAAGCACUUUCGAGUGCGAAGUACCUGAUGUCACACUGCCAAGAAAAUCUUCUAGCGUUUAAUUAUAACCUACCCGUACCGCAAACCGACACAGGUAGUCGAGGCGAGUAGCCUCAGGUGAGCGAGAGAACUCUCGUUAAGGAACUCGGCAAAAUGACCCCGUAACUUCGGGAGAAGGGGUGCUCUACGUUUGUAGAGCCGCAGUGAAUAGGCCCAAGCGACUGUUUAUCAAAAACACAGCUCUCUGCUAAAUCGUAAGAUGAUGUAUAGGGGGUGACGCCUGCCCGGUGCUGGAAGGUUAAGAGGAGUGCUUAGCGUAAGCGAAGGUAUGAAUUGAAGCCCCAGUAAACGGCGGCCGUAACGAUAACGGUCCUAAGGUAGCGAAAUUCCUUGUCGGGUAAGUUCCGACCCGCACGAAAGGCGUAACGAUUUGGGCACUGUCUCAACGAGAGACUCGGUGAAAUUUUAGUACCUGUGAAGAUGCAGGUUACCCGCGACAGGACGGAAAGACCCCAUGGAGCUUUACUGCAAGUUGAUAUUGAGUAUCUGUUGCACAUGUACAGGAUAGGUAGGAGCCAUUGAUCUGAGGACGCUAGUUUUCAGUGAGGCGAUGUUGGGAUACUACCCUUGUGUCAUGGCUACUCUAACCCGCAUGCCUAAUCGGCAUGGGAGACAGUGUCUGCUGGGCAGUUUGACUGGGGCGGUCGCCUCCUAAAGAGUAACGGAGGCGCUCAAAGUUUCCCUCAGCAUGGUUGGAAAUCAUGCGUAGAGUGUAAAGGUAUAAGGGAGAUUGACUGCGAGACUUACAAGUCGAGCAGGUACGAAAGUAGGACUUAGUGAUCGGUGGUACCGCAUGGAAGGGCCAUCGCUCAACGGAUAAAAGCUACCCUGGGGAUAACAGGCUUAUCUCCCCCAAGAGUUCACAUCGACGGGGAGGUUUGGCACCUCGAUGUCGGCUCGUCGCAUCCUGGGGCUGUAGUCGGUCCCAAGGGUUGGGCUGUUCGCCCAUUAAAGCGGCACGCGAGCUGGGUUCAGAACGUCGUGAGACAGUUCGGUCCCUAUCCGUCGCGGGCGUAGGAAAUUUGAGAGGAUCUGCCCUUAGUACGAGAGGACCGGGGUGGACUUACCGCUGGUGUACCAGUUGUCUUGCCAAAGGCAUCGCUGGGUAGCUAUGUAGGGAACGGAUAAACGCUGAAAGCAUCUAAGUGUGAAACCAA